GCCUAGUUAGCUCAGUUGGUAGCGCGUCUGCCUUGUAAGCGCUUGGCCGCGGGUUCGAUUCCCGCCCGGGGCG
RNAcentral lists this transfer RNA (73 nucleotides) under Diaphorina citri (Asian citrus psyllid). It matches the Rfam family "tRNA". Rfam says of the family: Transfer RNA (tRNA) molecules are approximately 80 nucleotides in length. Lineage: Eukaryota; Metazoa; Arthropoda; Insecta; Hemiptera; Psyllidae. The record is from Rfam by way of RNAcentral.